RNAcentral lists this long non-coding RNA (1745 nucleotides) under Nicotiana benthamiana. RNAcentral describes it as "long non-coding RNA (NBEN_LNC030834)". Lineage: Eukaryota; Viridiplantae; Streptophyta; Magnoliopsida; Solanales; Solanaceae. The record is from RNAcentral.
AUAAACUCUCUAUGUUUUAUAACUAAUGUAAAGAAUUAUGGACCAUUUGGGUCCGAGGAUGGUGGAAUACCAUUUUCAGUUGUGAUGAAAGAAGGUGGAGCUAUUGUAGGAUUUCACGGGCGUUGUGGAGCGUACCUUGAUGCUAUUGGUGUUUAUUUGCAGAAACUUACUCCUCCCACUUUAUCAAAGGAACCUGAAGCUAAAAUCAUUGAGCCAAAUGAACCUGUGGAUGAAGAAAUUGAAAUCCAUAACGUAUGUUCUGAUUAUUCCCUCGUUUGCUUAAGCACCUCUACUUCUUGAAUUUUCUUCACCUCAUACUUGCACACAAGCACAUAUCCCUUUCAUAAAACUAAUGACUUAAGUGACUCUUCUAACACCUUAAGGCAAUGGAACCUGAAGAUGAAACAAUUGAACCAAAUGAACCUAAGGUUGAAGAAAUAAUUGAAAUUCAUGACGUUUGUUGUGAUUAUUCGCUUGUUUGCUUAGUCGCCUCUACUUCCUUAAUUUUCUUCACACACUUGCACACAAGCCCAGAUCCCUUUCAUUAAACAAUUAAUUUGUGUUAAUCAUCUAACACCUUAUAUAGGGAUCAGGAUCAGCUGAUCACAGAAAGGGAAAAUAAAAAAAAAUGAAUGUAAUUUUCCAACAAUUGUACCUUGCCAUCUCUUCUUUUACAUGACUGUCUCUAUGUUCAUUCUGUUUUUUUUGGUCCGCUGCAAAAUAAUACUACCAAUAUAGGGAUAAAAUUUGAUAAUGGAGCCAUUGAUUUUGUUAGUUAUGUAUGUGAAGGAAAAUCAAGUGAGUUACGAUCUAGCAGACUCAAUAUUGGUGGGGCCAUGGGGAGGCAAUGCUGGUGGAUCAAAAUGGAAUUAUAAGUUGGAAAAUCCCAUUAAAGAAAUAUUGAUUGCUCACGGAGAUGUUAUAGACUCCAUCAUGUUCAGAACCGUUACUGAACAAGGUACUACUAAAGACUCACCAAAGUUUGGUGGGAAUGGAGGUGGAAUAAAUAAGGUAAGUCCAAAAAUAUUAUGGUCGACAUAUUUAAUUCUAAUGAUUGGAAUAUUCUUCUCAAGUAAAAUUUGUGUCAUGUCAUAGCAAUAAGCUUAAAUUAUGUUAAAAUAAUAAUUAAUUAUCAAGACAUUUGAACCAGCUAUAGCAGGUAAUUCAUUUAUUUUACGGUCUUCCAGUUACUUUACCGGACUCUUUGAUAUGAAAAAAUCACGUUAUUGGUCAAUUUAAUAUGAUAGUGUAGCAACUUUUUUGCAUUUAUGGUAUCACAAAGCAAAAUCUAUAGUUUGCCGGUUCCUUUGCAUUGAGAGGUUUUUAACUAAGUGUCCAAAUUUUCUUUAGGUCACCUAUUUUGAAUCCUAAUAUGAAAUUCUUGAACUUUUCUAAUUCUUUUCAAAAUUCCCGACUCAGCUACUUAAUUAACCGAUAUGUGAUUUGCAAUAAUCUCAGGUUAUUUUUGAGGAAAAUCCAUUGGAACAUUUAACGGGCAUCAAGGGUACAUUAGGACGUUUCAAUGGCCAUUUGGUUGUAAAAUCUCUAUGUUUUACGACUAAUGCAAAGAAUUAUGGACCAUUUGGGUCUGAGAAUGGUGGAACACUAUUUUCAGUUGUGAUUAAAGAAGGUGGAGCUAUUGUGGGAUUUCACGGGCAUUGUGGAGAGUACCUUGAUGCUAUUGGUAUUUAUUUGCAGAAACCUACUCCCCCUGCUUCGGCACAGAAACCUGAAGAUGAAGCAAU